This 1152-nucleotide ribosomal RNA is filed under the name Robertsicus elaphensis. Its description in RNAcentral is "16S ribosomal RNA". The stretch from base 894 to 1052 matches the Rfam family "Archaeal large subunit ribosomal RNA", at positions 2544 to 2703 of the family's 2987-position model. The record is from RNAcentral. Lineage: Eukaryota; Metazoa; Arthropoda; Arachnida; Ixodida; Ixodidae.
AUGAGAAUAAUUUUUUUAUAAUAAAAUUUUAUUUAAAACUGAAAAGGAAAUAUUUAAAAAAUAAGAAGAAUUAUUUUUAGUACCUUUAGCAUUAGGGAUUUUUAAAAAAAAUAAAAUUUUUAUUUUUCUCGAAUUUAAUAGAUCUAUAUUUUUAUAAAUAUUAUAUUUCAUAAUAAUAUGUAAUAAUUUUAUAGAAGUGAAAUUCUUAACAAAAUUAAAGAUAACUAGUUGUAAAAAAAAACUUAAAGUUAUUAAAUAAUAAUAAUUUAAUAAAUAAUAUUAUUUAAGAAAAAUUAUGGGAUAAGCUUUAAUUUUUUUUUUAAAAUUAACAAUAUAUAAAAAAAAAGAUUAAAAUUAUCUAAAAAUUUUUAUAAAUAAUUUAGCUGAAUUUCUAAAAAUUAAAAUUUUUUAAGUAAAAAAUAAAACUUUUCAUUUUUUUAAAAUAUGAAAAUAUUAGUAUAAAUAAUAUAUAUAUAAUUAUUAAAUUAACAUAAAAGUUAAAAAUUUAAUUAUAAUAAAAGAAUUCAGCAAUAUAAUUUUUUGACUGUUUAUUAAAAACAAUGUAUUUUGAUCAUAAAAAAUAUAAUUCCUGCUCAAUGAAAACUUAAAUUGCUGUAGUAUUUUGACUAUACAAAGGUAUUGAAAUAAGAUUUUAAUUGAAAGCUAAAAGAAUGGAAAUUCAAAAAAUAUCUUUUUUUAUUAUAAAAAUUAAACUUAUUUUUAUUAGUGAAGAAACAAUAAUAAAAAUUUAAGACAAGAAGACCCUAAGAAUUUUCAUUGUUUUAAUAAUAUAAUUUAUUGUUAAUAUAAUUUAAUUGGGGAGAUUAAAAAAUAUUUUUAACUUUUUUUAAAAAAGACCUAUUAUUAAUAAUUAACUGAAAAAAUACUCUAGGGAUAACAGCGUAAUAAUUUUAAAUAGCUCUUAUAGAUAAAAUAGUUUGCGACCUCGAUGUUGGAUUAGGAUUAUUGAUUAAUGAAGAAGUUAAUUUAAUAAGUUUGUUCAACUUUUAAAUUCCUACAUGAUCUGAGUUUAAACCGAUGUGAAUCAGGUUGGUUUCUAUCUAAAUUUAUUUAGAAAUUUUUUUAGUACGAAAGGAAUUAAAAAUUAAAAUAAUUUUAAAAAUUAAUCUUUUUUGUAUCAAUUUUUGGAAU